This 443-nucleotide ribosomal RNA is filed under the name uncultured bacterium. RNAcentral's name for it is "partial 16S ribosomal RNA". It matches the Rfam family "Bacterial small subunit ribosomal RNA", at positions 338 to 795 of the family's 1533-position model. The record is from RNAcentral.
CCUACGGGGGGCAGCAGUGGGGAAUAUUGGGCAAUGGGCGCAAGCCUGACCCAGCAACGCCGCGUGAAGGAAGAAGGCUUUCGGGUUGUAAACUUCUUUUAUGAGGGACGAAAGAAAUGACGGUACCUCAUGAAUAAGCCACGGCUAACUACGUGCCAGCAGCCGCGGUAAUACGUAGGUGGCAAGCGUUAUCCGGAUUUACUGGGUGUAAAGGGCGUGUAGGCGGGACUGCAAGUCAGAUGUGAAAUCCGGGGGCUCAACCCCCGAACUGCAUUUGAAACUGUUGGUCUUGAGUGUCGGAGAGGCAGGCGGAAUUCCUAGUGUAGCGGUGAAAUGCGUAGAUAUUAGGAGGAACACCAGUGGCGAAGGCGGCCUGCUGGACGACAACUGACGGUGAGGCGCGAAAGCGUGGGGAGCAAACAGGAUUAGAUACCCUUGUAGUC